AUUUUUGUUUCAUUUUUAUUUCGCCUUGUUGUAGUUGAAUAAGUACCUGGUUAACACCUACUUCCAUUGAUUGACUAUUCUAUUAAUUUUUGCUGUAAGGUGAUUAUAAUGAUCUUUCCUGCUUGCCUUUGGUUAUUUUUAUAACUGUUGAUGCAACUUUUCCAUCUGAUUCUGUACCUCCUUUAGUUCUAUAAAUUCUAUGAAUAUUUAGGGUUCUGCCUCAACACCAAGGCCA
RNAcentral lists this unclassified non-coding RNA (235 nucleotides) under Hevea brasiliensis (rubber tree). The record is from RNAcentral. Lineage: Eukaryota; Viridiplantae; Streptophyta; Magnoliopsida; Malpighiales; Euphorbiaceae.